CAUGUUGAAAUAUCGGUUCCCGUACGAUCACCAAAGAUAAGCAACGUCGGGCCUAGUCAGUACCUGGAUGGGUGGCCGCUUGGAAAUACUAUGUGCUGUAAG
Molecule: non-coding RNA, 102 nt
Organism: Acanthosepion pharaonis
Lineage: Eukaryota; Metazoa; Mollusca; Cephalopoda; Sepiida; Sepiidae
Source: the annotation of a GenBank genome assembly